Molecule: ribosomal RNA, 533 nt
Filed under: uncultured bacterium
Lineage: Bacteria
Description: bacterial SSU rRNA
Rfam family: Bacterial small subunit ribosomal RNA
Source: RNAcentral
GGCGGCGUGGAUUAGGCAUGCAAGUCGAACGGUAUAAACCUUCGGGGUUUAGAGAGUGGCGAACGGGUGAGUAACACGUAGGUAAUCUACCCUCAAAACGGGGACAACCCAGGGAAACUUGGGCUAAUACCGGAUGCGUGCAAACAAUGUUUUGGCUGUUGUAAUUAUUCACGGAAGUGGAUAGUUAUGAGAGUUUCAGAGCAUAAUUUGCAUAAAAGGUGGCGUAAGCUGCCGUUUGAGGAUGAGCCUGCGUCCUAUUAGUUAGUUGGUGAGGUAAUGGCUUACCAAGGCGAUGAUAGGUAGGCGGCCUUAACGGGUGGUCGCCCACACUGGGAUUGAGAUACGGCCCAGACUCCUACGGGAGGCAGCAGUCGAGAAUAGUCUACAAUGGACGAAAGUCUGAUAGUGCGACGCCGCGUGAACGAAGAAUCCUUUCGGGGUGUAAAGUUCUUUUCUAUGUGAGCAGUUCCUUUUAUAUGAAGAGUAUAGAAGGUGGGAUUUAAGCAUAGGAAUAAGCAACGGCUAACUCCGUG